This 490-nucleotide ribosomal RNA is filed under the name uncultured bacterium. Its description in RNAcentral is "partial 16S ribosomal RNA". It matches the Rfam family "Bacterial small subunit ribosomal RNA", at positions 30 to 507 of the family's 1533-position model. The record is from RNAcentral.
AUUGAACGCUGGCGGCAGGCCUAACACAUGCAAGUCGAACGGUAACAGGAAGCAGCUUGCUGCUUCGCUGACGAGUGGCGGACGGGUGAGUCAUGUCUGGGAAACUGCCUGAUGGAGGGGGAUAACUACUGGAAACGGUAGCUACUACCGCAUAACGUCGCAAGACCAAAGAGGGGGACCUUAGGGCCUCUUGCCAUCGGAUGUGCCCAGGUGGGAUUAGCUAGUAGGUGGGGUAACGGCUCACCUAGGCGACGAUCCCUAGCUGGUCUGAGAGGAUGACCAGCCACACUGGAACUGAGACACGGUCCAGACGCCUACGGGAGGCAGCAGUGGGGAAUAUUGCACAAUGGGCGCAAGCCUGAUGCAGCCAUGCCGCGUGUAUGAAGAAGGCCUUCGGGUUGUAAAGUACUUUCAGCGGGGAGGAAGGGAGUAAAGUUAAUACCUUUGCUCAUUGACGUUACCCGCAGAAGAAGCACCGGCUAACUCCGUG